Molecule: ribosomal RNA, 428 nt
Filed under: uncultured bacterium
Lineage: Bacteria
Description: partial 16S ribosomal RNA
Rfam family: Bacterial small subunit ribosomal RNA
Source: RNAcentral
GUCGGGAGUCUUGCACAAUGGGGGAAACCCUGAUGCAGCGACGUCGCGUGUGGGAUGAAGUAUUUCGGUAUGUAAACCACUUUUGCGGGGGGCGAAAAAAAUGACGGUACCCCGCGAAUAAGCCCCGGCUAACUACGUGCCAGCAGCCGCGGUAAUACGUAGGGGGCGAGCGUUGCUCGGAUUGACUGGGCGUAAAGCGCGCGUAGGCGGUCCAUUAAGUGUGCGGUGAAAUUCGGAGGCUCAACCUCCGUCCCGCCGCGCAAACUGAUGGUCUUGAGAUUGGGAGGGGGAUGCGGAAUUCCUGGUGUAGCGGUGAAAUGCAUUGAUAUCAGGAGGAACACCGGCGGCGAAAGCGGCAUCCUGGCUUAUAUCUGACGCUGAGGCGCGAAAGCGUGGGUAGCAAACGGGAUUAGAUACCCCUGUAGUCC